UUUAAUAAUUGCACUAGUUUAUUCCCUACUAAAGUUAUGAUUAUUAUCUUGAUAAUUUGGAUUAGAAUAUGCCGAAUUGUGACCAUAUUUCCAACAGGGACGAGCUUGGAGAAUCCAUGAGGAUGCCUAGUGUGCAAGACGCAUUGCGCUGCCUCCCGCCGCUAAUCUGGCCGCACUGUGCAACCUCUAUCUGACCUAUCUGACCUCAAUCGUUGGAUUUUUCUUUCCAGCUGGUUUUCUACCUCAGCCUUAUAGAUCUUAAAGUAAUGCAGUGCUUCAUCCUUUGUUUUCAAUAAGUACACAAAGCAAAAUCUAGUGCAAUCAUCUAUCAGUAUCAUGAAAUAUUUCUUUCCCCCUUUAGUCAACACACUGUUCAUUUUGCAUAGAUCGGAAUGAACAAGUUCUAGAGGAGCCAAAUUCCUCGCCUCAGAUGCACUGUGAGGCUUGCGAGGUUGUUUCGAUUGAAAACAGGUAUGACACUUGGAACCUUUAACUAAAGCAAAUUUUGGAAUUAAACUCAUGUUGGCUAAGCGCGUCAUACAACCAAAAUUCACAUGACAGAGUCGCGAAUGCCACACAUUUGACUCGUCAUCAUUGCUUACAUGGUCCAAAGAAAAGCGGAACAAGCCUCCGCUAUCAUAACAUUUUCUAAUAAACGUUCCAUAUUUAGAUACAACACAUUUAUUGGAUUCAAACACAAAUCUAAAAUCAUGUCUACACAGUAGAGAGCCGCUAACUAGAUUCUUCUUUAUUGAAGGGACAUGCUGCACGUUUUUCAGCUGCACGGUCUUUCCCGAAGUAAACUUUAGAUCGACCGUACCAACACCAAGAACAGCCGCAAGCGACCCAUUUUCCAUCAACAAGGAGGAACCUCUCCCGACUUGAUAAGAAGAAAACAAGGAAAUGUCAGCACACACAUGAAUAUUAACACCAGUGUUAACCCACCAAUCAGGUGAGUGACAAAUAGGAAGAACUGUAGGUAAAAAUUUACCAUACCCCGAUGUUCCUCCGCCCUUGCUAAUGACCAUGUUUGCAGACUUUCUGUCUUUGCGCUUAGGACAGUCCUUGGCCCAAUGCCCAGGCUUGCCACACACAAAGCAGUCACCCUUAGCCUUUCCCUUGCCUUUCUUCUUAAAAGUAGUUGUAGCCUUGGGUUUGACAUCAGGCUUGACUUUCUUGUUGUUAUGGGAUGCUUGAGGGUUUUUCUUCUAUACCAAAUUGGUACUAGAACUCCCCUCCACCUUUUUGCCGCGGUUGUCCUUUGCCCUCGCCUUCUCCUCAACACCCAAAGAGCCUAUGAGAUCAGUGACACUGAGCUCUUGCCUCUGUGUUUUAGAGAAGUAGCAAAGUCGGACCAAAAAGGUGGCAAUUUGGCUAUGAUACCUCCCGCCACGAACAUGUCUGGCAACUCAUAGCGGUUGUUCUCAAGUUCCUUUGCCAGCAUCUGUAUCUCAUGAGCUUGUUCCACUACAGAUCGAUCAUCGACCAUCUUGUAGUCAUAGAACUGCUCCAUGACAUACAGCUCACUGCCAGCAUCAGAAACCCCGAAUUUCGCCUCAAGUGCAUCCCACAUUUCCUUCCUGAAGGCAUGUGCAUGUACACGUCCACUAUGUUGUCGAUGAGCACACUGAUCAAUGCUCCACGGAAUAUGCAAUCCGCAGCCUCGAACUUGGCCUCCUCCUCAGGAGAGAGAGGCGGUUUACUCAGUUUGCCCCGUGAAACAAAGAAACAUUGCAUCGCUGUCAACCAUAGUAGUGCACGUGCUUUCCAUCUCUUAUAGUUUGAACCAUCGAAAGCGUGCGGUUUCAGUGAUGCGGCAAAUCCAACUACCGAAAAGGACCUAUCAGGUUUUUGGAUUGUUGGAAAUAUGGUCACAAUUCAGCAUAUUUUAAUCCAAAUUAUCAAGAUAAUAAUCAUGACUUUAACAGGGAAUAAACUAGUGCAAUUGUUAAACAAAUGUAACGAACGAAUCAUGCUUAAUAUAUAAUAAGCAUAGACAUCCAUCAUACAGCAAUGCAUUGAAAACAUUGCGCUAAACAGAAACACAAUAAGAAUUAACGCAGUAAACAAUAGUAUAGAGAGAUUAUACCCAGAGAAUGGCCCUCCGCUGGAUUGUGAGGCAUAAUUGUCUCCGUUGAUGAAGCCUCCAGUACCAUCCUGUCUAGCCGUACCCUUCCCAUCCGCGCGCGUUGGUGUUGUCCGCCGACAUGGUGAGGAUCGCAACCGUGCAAAAUCCAAGAAAAGAGCAGUCGCGUUGAAGAACGCUCCCAAAAACAUGAUUGCCCGCCUACCCGUGCUAGCAGCGCAAGAACAGAAGGAGGUAACCAGCGACAGGAAGAGAGGCACAGAGAGGAGACCCGAGAGGACUGAUUGGCGAUGGGAGAGAGGCAGAGUAUUUCCCGAGAGUAACGUUCGCUCGGGAAUUAAUCGUGUCGUUAAUGCCGAAACAAUCUCUGUGAAUUAAUCGCGUCAUUAAUGCCGAACCAAUCUCCAUCCGUUGCGCUGUUGGUGUUGUCCGCCGACAUGGUGAGGAUCGCAGCCAUGCAGAAUCCAAGAAAAGAGCAGUCGCAUGGAAGAACGCUCCCCAAAAACAUGAUUGCCCGCCUACCCAUGCUAGCAGCGCAGUAACAGAAGGAGGUAACUAGCGACGGGAGGAGAGGCAUAGAGAGGAGACCCGAGAGGACUGACUGGCGACGGGAGAGAGGUAGAGUCUCUCCCGAGAGUAACGUUCGCUCGGGAAUUAAUCGUGUCGUUAAUGCCGAAUCAAUCUUCGGGAAUUAAUAGCGUCGUUAAUGCCGAAUCAAUCUCCGUUUGUUACAAAACAUGAGAGAGAGAGAGAGAGAGAGCAGCAGCAGCAGCAGCCUGCCUCGCCACGGCCACGGGCCGACCGGCCGGCGCGCGCGCGCAUGUGGCAGUCCGCCCACUAUCUCAACCGGUCAAUAGGGACUCUCCUCUAGUUCUCUUUUUAAGUUGAGAUCUCUCCACUUAAAUUCCCGACGUGGUUUUAUUACCUCUAACAUUAAUUGUGGGCCUAUGGAAUUUAAUUGAAUUAUAUUGGGCCUAGACCAUUUAUUCCAACAGUCCCUGUCUUGAAGUUGUCGGAAGAAGGUGUUGUUGAUCAAGUACCCGUUGCGCAAGGAUAAGGUUAUUUUGGAGCGCAGAGCAAUGGCAAUUGCUAAUCCGGACCGCAUUUUCUAUACAUGCAAGGAGAAGAAUGAGAAGGAAGAACGAUUUUAAGGAUUUUUUUUGGGGGGAUUCUGGUGUCACUAUAUAGCUACAAGGAGAUAUAUGCGACGUGUUGUGAUGUGGAGGGGGCUGAGAGCAAAAAUGUUGUCUACAUAGGUGGCAUGCCACGUUGGCGGUCAAACGCAGACAAAGGACAUUUGGACCAGGUGUAGCAUCCUAAAAAAUUACAAUUUUCUAGUUAUGCAUCAUGUCGGUUCUUAUGUUCUUAUUAACAUCCUAAACCUAGGAAAAUAUAAUUAAAGAGACCUCCUAAAACUAACUUGCUUAAAACUUCUUCGUUUAUUUAAUUCCUUUUAUGACUUUUAUUAAAAACCUAUCUUGAGAUAUUUCUUGAUUUGAUUUCAAACUUUCUUUUGCUAAAUCUUUCUUUAUUUAAAUAUAGUUUGAAAACCCCUUUUUACUUUUAUGAAUUAUGGUCCAAGAAACCUUCCCAUAUUCCCCUAGAACAUAAACCAAAGCAAUUCCAAUUUUAUUGGAAUUAAGUGUCAACCCAUCCUUUGAUCUUAAACCUCAAUUCAAAUAUCCAAAUCCUUACUUUUGACCUAGCCACUGAUUUAAAUCCUGUGGCUAUAAUACCCUUCUCGGCGCAAGAAUAAUAUUAUGAAUAAUUGCUCUUGUGCUAAGAAAAUAGGUUUCAUCUUUUUAUCCAAAAUCCAAGUUCCCUAUUAGCCUCAAAUACAUCUCCAAAAUCCUUGCCAAAUAAUUUGAGGCUAACAUCCUAUUUAUUUCCCCUCCAUAUUCUUCCCACAUUUCCAAAAAUAUAUCCAAAUUUAGGAGUCCUAUUAUUCCUAGUGCAGAAAUACCCCUACUUCUUAUUUGAGUACUUCCAAAUAAAUUCCCUCAAACUCCACUUCUAAAAAUAUUGCACUCAAAUAAAAUAGAAGAUCUUUAUUUUGGAAUUCACAUAUAAACUCCCUCCAAAUAUAACCCCAUCUAUCAAUUCUACUCAAUCUGGGCCGAAGUACCUUCACCUAGGCCCAAGUCAGAAAAUCUAAUUUCCCUCCCUCUCUCUGUGGGCGCAUUUGGCGCCCAGGCUACGGCCGCCGCCGCCCACAGUCCUGCCGCCGUCGCCAGCCAAUCACCGAACGAGGCCGGCGCCGUUCUCUUCGCCUCCACUCCACCGACGCCGUGCCUUGCCUUCCUCCUCCAAUCUUACGGCAGCCACCACGUAUGCGCGCCGCCCUUUUCGUCCAAUGGGAGAACGAAGCCGACGCCGUAUUCCUCUUCCUCACGCCACUGUCGCCGUGCCUUCCUCGUCUUCCACCGGCGAACCGACCUUCAUGAACCGACGUCCACCUCUUUUCGCCAUCCGAGCCUUGAGCUCUUCUUCUUCUCUCUCUCCUCCCAUGUCCGGCCGUCGCCGCCGACGGUCGAUCUCCUCCCUCGUAGCUUCUCUAUCCUUUCCCUUGCGCCACUAUGAUGGCGAAUCCAUUUUACCCCUUUACCCCUUCCCUUCCACCUUGAGUUAAGCCACCACCGCCACCUCCCAAACCGGCCGGGGCUAAGCUCUUGCCGCUGCUGUUCCGGCCAUCCCUCUCUUCCUCUCUACCAACCACCGACCUCCCCGAGUGCGCGUCGACCGGGAACACAAUAUGCCGCCGACGUCGCCACACUUUGGCCACUGGAAGCCCGGCGCCCCGCUCACCCUCUCCUCUCUCUUCUCUCGGCUCACUGUGAGGCAGAGGAAGAAGAGAACGAAGGAAGAAGAAAGAGAGAAAGAAAAAUAAAAGAAAAGGAUAUUCCCUGACAGUAGAGUCUAUUAUAUUUGGAUGGCAACCUGUGGUAUUUCGAGCAUCGGAUAAUCAGGUUGCCUAUCUCGGAUUUAUUUGCGUUGGAGCAAGGUAAGUUAUUAUUCCUCCUCUUGAGCAUAAUUAUCCUAUAAUCUAUAUCUCUAUUCUAUGCAUUAGCCAUUCAUGAUUUUAAAUGCAUAACCUGAACAUAUAGCAAACCAGAUAUGCUAGCUUUUGCUUAGCCAUGCCUAGUUAGAUUGCAUAAAAUAUAAUGAACUUAGAUUGAAACAAUACGGUAGAAGUGGUUGAUUUCCGGGUGGCUAGUACUGUUCCAACCGAUAUAAGACUGCCAAGUACAUGUGAAGAACAUACGAGUACGACCGCAAUUCUCGUAUGGGCAUAGACCUAGCUGAUUAAGUUAUCUAGCAAAGGUGAUACCUCUGUAUAGUGGUUCUUCUUAAGUCCUCGCGCAGGAGGCAAUUCUAUGCCGAGCAGGGCAAUUAUGAUAUUUACCGAGGCACAGGUAAAUAUACUUAUAUUGAUAGUCCAGGGGACUAUGUUAUGGCCAUGUGAUUUUGUGAACCCUGAUUGCGAUGACAUGGUGUCAUACAAUCAGUUCUCUCUAAAGACCUCGGGAACGCCAGAACUCCUCACACUGCUGACAACGUUACGUUCAGAGCGCAUGGGGACUAGAGUUCAUGGAACAGGUACCACUAAUGUUAAUAACUGAAAAGCUUUGCCAUGACAAGGCUAAUGUGUUUGGCACGUCAUGGGUUGCGGGUAAAGCGUACAUUUACUGCAGUAAAGUAUAAAUGAAUCUAUUCGAAUAGCCGUGCUCACGGAUUUGAGCAUUGGGACUCA
Long non-coding RNA from Oryza sativa Japonica Group (Japanese rice), 5837 nucleotides. RefSeq lists it as uncharacterized. The record is from RefSeq and is a predicted model, not a curated record. Lineage: Eukaryota; Viridiplantae; Streptophyta; Magnoliopsida; Poales; Poaceae.